Molecule: transfer RNA, 74 nt
Filed under: Streptomyces violaceoruber
Lineage: Bacteria; Bacillati; Actinomycetota; Actinomycetes; Kitasatosporales; Streptomycetaceae
Also listed under: 8 other names
Description: tRNA-Thr
Rfam family: tRNA
About the family: Transfer RNA (tRNA) molecules are approximately 80 nucleotides in length. Their secondary structure includes four short double-helical elements and three loops (D, anti-codon, and T loops). Further hydrogen bonds mediate the characteristic L-shaped molecular structure. tRNAs have two regions of fundamental functional importance: the anti-codon, which is responsible for specific mRNA codon recognition, and the 3' end, to which the tRNAs corresponding amino acid is attached (by aminoacyl-tRNA synthetases). tRNAs cope with the degeneracy of the genetic code in two manners: having more than one tRNA (with a specific anti-codon) for a particular amino acid; and 'wobble' base-pairing, i.e. permitting non-standard base-pairing at the 3rd anti-codon position.
Source: RNAcentral
GCCUCCUUAGCUCAGCUGGCCAGAGCUCCGAUCUUGUAAGUCGGAUGUCGUCGGUUCGAAUCCGACAGGGGGCC